GGAGAGGUGGCAGAGCGGCUGAAUGCAGCGGUCUUGAAAACCGCCGUGCCGAGAGGCACCGGGGGUUCGAAUCCCCCCCUCUCCGCCA
This 88-nucleotide transfer RNA is filed under the name Planctomycetota bacterium. Its description in RNAcentral is "tRNA-Ser". It matches the Rfam family "tRNA". From Rfam's summary of the family: Transfer RNA (tRNA) molecules are approximately 80 nucleotides in length. Their secondary structure includes four short double-helical elements and three loops (D, anti-codon, and T loops). Lineage: Bacteria; Pseudomonadati; Planctomycetota. The record is from RNAcentral.